GUAGGAAUGGAGCACUUUUACUCUUGAAAUAUCUGAGACCUGUUGCAAAGCCCAUUAAAACUGAUGCAGCUUUCUUUUAUGGAUUUCACUAGGUUUGGCUCAAGUCCUCGGCAACAUUGCUCUUGCUUAAUGUGAAACUUGGAAGCAACCCUGGGUAAACAAGCCAGGCUAAUAUUCUACAGGCUGAUCGUAACUACUUGAAGGAGAAGACAGAAUCCUGACUCAUAAAGGACACAUCAAAAGAACAAGAUUUGUUCUUCCCAUCUACAGAGAUUACAGAAGCAUUGUGAGAGGUCAGAUCUUCAGCUGCUUGUAACCAGACCUGUCUAGUCAAUUGCUGUCGGGACAAGACUCAUGCUCUCAGACCCCAUCUCCUGCUUCCGUCUGCAGUGCAGGCCUCCGUCCUGCUGCGGGCGGCCCCGAGCUGGAGGGAAGCCAUGGUGCUGUGCUGCAUGCGGCACUGCGUCUGCGAACAGGCUGUGCUGGAAGGUGUGCUUCCCAGCUGAUGGGACAUCGCUUCCACCAGACCCAGCUGCCCGUCCCCUCUGCUGGCGAAGGUGGUAUGACAUAUCCCUUGUGACCUGGAGGCCCUGCAUUGCCCUGCUGAGCAGCAAAAAUACUGACCAGAUUACACUGCUAUGCUGUUUUCAUCUCCGUUGUUGAUUGCUUUUGCCACCAGCUCAGCAGAGUACCCAAAGCAGCCCCAGACUAAGGACCUCUCCAUGAGAAGACCAUGUGAGAAACAUCACCUUUAUUGCAAGAGAUUGGAAACUGGCCAGAUGAUCUCUUUAUUUUGAUGUUCUUUUGCAUUGACACCAUUAGACAUUUGUGGUUUCCACCGGUGAGAGAGGUAAGUGGGAGGACAGUAUUUUCAGAGCUGAAUCAAGAGAUUCAUUUUCCUAAAAUAAAUAUAGCAGCAGACUUCA
This 926-nucleotide long non-coding RNA is filed under the name Phasianus colchicus (ring-necked pheasant). RNAcentral's name for it is "lncRNA (ENSPCLG00000011449.1)". Lineage: Eukaryota; Metazoa; Chordata; Aves; Galliformes; Phasianidae. The record is from RNAcentral.